CUCGAGAGCAUGUGGGCUAAAACCUGGGAGAUGCUGGGUACUUGCAUCUCUUACUGAAUAGUCUUUUAUCAGCCUAUUUAGGUUAUCCCAGUUUAACCCUAUAGUUCCUUCCAGCAAUUCAAUGACUCAGAUUAACUAGACACUUGGCCAGUGUCGAGCUCCAGGCUGAAGGUUGGAGAGAGGCUAGUCCCCAGACAAAUGAUGCAUGGAAUUUGUAUCUGUGUGUUGCCAUGCCGACGCCGUGCACAGAUUGCUCAAGAUUCAGCAGGACUUGGCAGGGACCUUUUUGCUUCCCAGAGACUCAAUGACAGGCAGAUGGGUUACCGUCCGAUAGAGAAGCGGUGCUUUGCAAGAUCCCAUUGCAACACUCAUGCCACCAGGGUGAGACUGGACGGUGCAGCUGCACCCUGGACCUGGGAGGUCAGACAUACCCGUGCUAUUUCCACGAGCCUAAAAGCGAUGUCAACUGGGGAUGUUUCAGUCACAUCCAGUUCUGCACAGUAAAGAGUUGGAGAGGCAGAGAGAAUUGCACAAUGGCAAAGAUGUCCCCAAGCACCCACAAACCCUUCAUGCAACUGUACCUCCCAUAAAGCAAUAUGCUAUAUACCAGAACGUAUGGCAUCUAAUAUUGCCAUGAAAGUCCCUGGAAUAUGGAUAUGCUUUGUAGUCCAUCUUCAUUUAGUUUGCCAGUGAUGAAGAUGCACAGUGUCCUCACAUAUGCAUGCUGACAGCUCAGUGCUAAUGGCAGUGACACAUUUUUGGAUGAAAUUGUGAAAUAUAAAUGUAUUUGAAUUUUCAAAGUUUUACAUCACACUGCCUUGAGCCUUUGGGAUUCUGGGUGCAUCUCUCCAGAUUUCUUUAAGCUGAGAGGGGAGAGCUUCCCAGCCUCCCCUGUACUAUCUCAGUCCUACAGCCAGACGCAGACUGGCUCUGCCCAUGCUCCGUCCCACAGCUGCCCCAGUUACACCACUAGGAACGACCAGCAGCCAUCUACCAGGAGGGAAUUGCCAGAGUCUGGCAUGCACAAGCCAUGCCUCCUGCAUAUGGGGUGGUGGGAGCCAGUGCUGGGGAACGUACGUCUGGAAAGCAGGAGGGGUGCCUACAUGGUAUGGCACAGCGCUGUGCAGGCAGCCUGGAGAGGUCCUACGCGUGUAAACUUAAACACAUACCAGCAGUGGAUGGCUUCAGAGAGCAAUCACUUAUUCUUUUGAAAGUACCCUACCAACUUGUUUUAAUUGUGGAGAAAUAAUCAGAGGGAACGAGUUUGAGAGAGUUAGUCUAUUAAUCAUUUAUUGUGUUAUUUUUAUAUGGCAUUGUGCUGCUGCUAUGAUAUGUUAAAUAUUGCAGCUUGAUGUGUGGUCCCCAGGCCCAAGGAGUCCUAUAAAUUAGAUGGAUUUUUCUAAAGUUCUCUCAGUGAGAAAAGUUCCAGAAAAAGUGAGAAUAGCUCCAUAUUGUUCUAUCUCCUUAGAUGCAAAAUAACCCUGGUUGACUGUGUAUUAUCCUA
This 1504-nucleotide long non-coding RNA is filed under the name Anas platyrhynchos platyrhynchos (common mallard). RNAcentral describes it as "lncRNA (ENSAPLG00000029642.1)". The record is from RNAcentral. Lineage: Eukaryota; Metazoa; Chordata; Aves; Anseriformes; Anatidae.